RNAcentral lists this transfer RNA (72 nucleotides) under Bacteriophage sp. RNAcentral's name for it is "tRNA-Lys". It matches the Rfam family "tRNA". From Rfam's summary of the family: Transfer RNA (tRNA) molecules are approximately 80 nucleotides in length. Their secondary structure includes four short double-helical elements and three loops (D, anti-codon, and T loops). The record is from RNAcentral.
GGGCAUCUAACUCAGUGGGAGAGUAGCGGUCUUUUAAACCGCAGGUCCGGAGUUCGAUUCUCCGGGUGCCCA